UACAGAGGUCUCAAGCGUUGUUCGGAUUCAUUGGGCGUAAAGGGUGCGUAGGCGGCGCGGUAAGUCGGGUGUGAAAUCUCGGAGCUUAACUCCGAAACUGCAUUCGAUACUGCCGUGCUUGAGGACUGGAGAGGAGACUGGAAUUCUCGGUGUAGCAGUGAAAUGCGUAGAUAUCGAGAGGAGCACCAGUGGCGAAGGCGAGUCCCUGGACAACGACUGACACUGAGGCACGAAAGCUAGGGGAGCAAACAGG
Molecule: ribosomal RNA, 253 nt
Filed under: uncultured bacterium
Lineage: Bacteria
Description: partial 16S ribosomal RNA
Rfam family: Bacterial small subunit ribosomal RNA
Source: RNAcentral